GGGCCCUUAGCUUAGUCUGGUAUAGCACCCGGCUCAUACCGCUCGUCGGUCACGGCGGGCGUGGGUCACCGGGCGGUCGCUGGUUCGAAUCCGGCAGGGCCCA
This 103-nucleotide transfer RNA is filed under the name halophilic archaeon J07HB67. Its description in RNAcentral is "tRNA-Met". It matches the Rfam family "tRNA". Rfam says of the family: Transfer RNA (tRNA) molecules are approximately 80 nucleotides in length. Lineage: Archaea; Methanobacteriati; Methanobacteriota; Halobacteria; Halobacteriales. The record is from RNAcentral.